This 305-nucleotide ribosomal RNA is filed under the name uncultured bacterium. RNAcentral's name for it is "bacterial SSU rRNA". It matches the Rfam family "Bacterial small subunit ribosomal RNA", at positions 496 to 798 of the family's 1533-position model. The record is from RNAcentral.
UGCACCUACGGGGGGCAGCAGCCGCGGUAAUACGUAGGGGGCAAGCGUUAUCCGGAUUUACUGGGUGUAAAGGGAGCGUAGACGGCGAAGAAAGUCUGAAGUGAAAGCCCGCGGCUUAACCGCGGAACUGCUUUGGAAACUUUUUUGCUGGAGUACCGGAGAGGUAAGCGGAAUUCCUAGUGUAGCGGUGAAAUGCGUAGAUAUUAGGAGGAACACCAGUGGCGAAGGCGGCUUACUGGACGGUAACUGACGUUGAGGCUCGAAAGCGUGGGGAGCAAACAGGAUUAGAAACCCUGGUAGUCCAA